RNAcentral lists this ribosomal RNA (945 nucleotides) under Lactiplantibacillus plantarum. RNAcentral describes it as "bacterial SSU rRNA". It matches the Rfam family "Bacterial small subunit ribosomal RNA", at positions 64 to 994 of the family's 1533-position model. Lineage: Bacteria; Bacillati; Bacillota; Bacilli; Lactobacillales; Lactobacillaceae. The record is from RNAcentral.
GGUGCUUGCAUCAUGAUUUACAUUUGAGUGAGUGGCGAACUGGUGAGUAACACGUGGGAAACCUGCCCAGAAGCGGGGGAUAACACCUGGAAACAGAUGCUAAUACCGCAUAACAACUUGGACCGCAUGGUCCGAGCUUGAAAGAUGGCUUCGGCUAUCACUUUUGGAUGGUCCCGCGGCGUAUUAGCUAGAUGGUGGGGUAACGGCUCACCAUGGCAAUGAUACGUAGCCGACCUGAGAGGGUAAUCGGCCACAUUGGGACUGAGACACGGCCCAAACUCCUACGGGAGGCAGCAGUAGGGAAUCUUCCACAAUGGACGAAAGUCUGAUGGAGCAACGCCGCGUGAGUGAAGAAGGGUUUCGGCUCGUAAAACUCUGUUGUUAAAGAAGAACAUAUCUGAGAGUAACUGUUCAGGUAUUGACGGUAUUUAACCAGAAAGCCACGGCUAACUACGUGCCAGCAGCCGCGGUAAUACGUAGGUGGCAAGCGUUGUCCGGAUUUAUUGGGCGUAAAGCGAGCGCAGGCGGUUUUUUAAGUCUGAUGUGAAAGCCUUCGGCUCAACCGAAGAAGUGCAUCGGAAACUGGGAAACUUGAGUGCAGAAGAGGACAGUGGAACUCCAUGUGUAGCGGUGAAAUGCGUAGAUAUAUGGAAGAACACCAGUGGCGAAGGCGGCUGUCUGGUCUGUAACUGACGCUGAGGCUCGAAAGUAUGGGUAGCAAACAGGAUUAGAUACCCUGGUAGUCCAUACCGUAAACGAUGAAUGCUAAGUGUUGGAGGGUUUCCGCCCUUCAGUGCUGCAGCUAACGCAUUAAGCAUUCCGCCUGGGGAGUACGGCCGCAAGGCUGAAACUCAAAGGAAUUGACGGGGGCCCGCACAAACGGUGGAGCAUGUGGUUUAAUUCCAAACUACGCGAAGAACCUUACCAGGUCUUGACGUACUAUGC